Molecule: long non-coding RNA, 232 nt
Filed under: Lathyrus oleraceus (garden pea)
Lineage: Eukaryota; Viridiplantae; Streptophyta; Magnoliopsida; Fabales; Fabaceae
Description: Pisum sativum (pea) long non-coding RNA (PSAT_LNC026796)
Source: RNAcentral
CAAAACUUUCCAAUUAGAAGAACCAUUGUCAUGAGAUCCAAAGUGAGAGAUACAAAAGCCAUUGGAAGAUUCCUAGGAGCUUGAUUUGUGUGCUUGAUUGCUUGAGUUAUUUGCUUAUUGCUUGCUAAUUCCAAAGGAAAGGGAACAACUUGGAUCAUCACUAUGAUCUCAAUAAGAGAACUCCAUUGUGGUUUUACUUCUCUUCCUUCAUCUUUGUAUGUUUAGGACUUAG